AACGCACCUUGCGCCUUAUGGCAUGCCAGUUUGAGAGCCUUAUCAUACUCGCGACAUAGCUUGCUGUGUAGCGGAUUUGAGUGUUGCCGGCUACGGCUCGCUCUGAAUGCAUGAGCGGUUAGAAGCUCCAAUAGCGUGAUAAGUAUCUACGCUAGGAAGAGUGGACGACUGCUUCAAAUCGUCUUCGGACAAUACUAAUGCUUGGCAUCAAAUUGGUAGGACUACCCGCUGAACUUAA
RNAcentral lists this unclassified non-coding RNA (238 nucleotides) under uncultured fungus. RNAcentral's name for it is "sequence contains ITS2". The record is from RNAcentral. Lineage: Eukaryota; Fungi.